GCUUCUGUAGUGUAGUCCGGUCAAUUUGAAUGAUAGUUAUAGAAUACUAUGAUUAAGACCAAGCAUCUGAGGCUCUCACCCUCGGAACCCGGGUUCGAAUCCCGGCAGAAGCA
Molecule: transfer RNA, 113 nt
Filed under: Promethearchaeota archaeon
Lineage: Archaea; Promethearchaeati; Promethearchaeota
Description: Candidatus Lokiarchaeota archaeon (permafrost metagenome) tRNA-Glu
Rfam family: tRNA
About the family: Transfer RNA (tRNA) molecules are approximately 80 nucleotides in length.
Source: RNAcentral